AAGGAUUUAAGUUAAAUUUAAACUAAUAACCUUCAAAGUUGGAAAUAGAAUAUUCUAAGCCUUA
Molecule: transfer RNA, 64 nt
Filed under: Cerogria popularis
Lineage: Eukaryota; Metazoa; Arthropoda; Insecta; Coleoptera; Tenebrionidae
Description: tRNA-Trp
Source: RNAcentral